AGACUGAUUGCUGGUGGCUAGGCCUA
This 26-nucleotide non-coding RNA is filed under the name Rattus norvegicus (Norway rat). Lineage: Eukaryota; Metazoa; Chordata; Mammalia; Rodentia; Muridae. The record is from RNAcentral.